This is a non-coding RNA of Marasmius sp. AFHP31, 102 nucleotides long. The record is from the annotation of a GenBank genome assembly. NCBI's taxonomy places the organism in Eukaryota, Fungi, Basidiomycota, Agaricomycetes, Agaricales, Marasmiaceae.
GAUUCCUUAGCUCAGCGGUAGAGCGUCUGAUUCCAGUGGGGCCCAUAACCUGUUGAAGUUCUCCCAUCCAGAAGGUCAUCCGUUCAAUCCGGGUAGGGGUCA